UAACCUGAUCAGCCCCGGAGUU
RNAcentral lists this microRNA (22 nucleotides) under human gammaherpesvirus 4 (Epstein-Barr virus). RNAcentral's name for it is "ebv-miR-BHRF1-1". Its record names the gene ebv-miR-BHRF1-1. Lineage: Duplodnaviria; Heunggongvirae; Peploviricota; Herviviricetes; Herpesvirales; Orthoherpesviridae. The record is from miRBase by way of RNAcentral.